Molecule: signal recognition particle RNA, 279 nt
Filed under: Chloroflexota bacterium
Lineage: Bacteria; Bacillati; Chloroflexota
Description: Chloroflexi bacterium (groundwater metagenome) signal recognition particle sRNA large type
Rfam family: Bacterial large signal recognition particle RNA
About the family: The signal recognition particle (SRP) is a universally conserved ribonucleoprotein involved in the co-translational targeting of proteins to membranes. Archaeal SRP consists of a 7S RNA and homologues of the eukaryotic SRP19 and SRP54 proteins.
Source: RNAcentral
UCGUGCUAGAUGGGGAGCUAGCGGUGCCCUGAACCCCGCAAGGGGCGACCCGCAAUCCGCUCUAGCGGGAUUGAAUGCCACUCCCAGGAGUGGGCGUAUUGCACGGUGCGAACGGCGCAGCAUUGAAAGCCAGGUCCGACGCAGCAAAAGCCCGUGAACCCCGCCAGGACCGGAAGGUAGCAACGGUAAGCGGUCACUUUUGGGUGACGCCGGGGCGCUUGGCUGGAGCAAGCGAAUUCGUGCACGACGGGACGCUUGCCUCAAAGAGUGGUUGCACGA